GACAGAGGGUGCAAACGUUGUUCGGAAUUACUGGGCGUAAAGCGCGUGUAGGCGGCUAAGUAAGUCGGGCGUGAAAUCCCACGGCUCAACCGUGGAAGUGCACUCGAAACUGCAUAGCUAGAGUCCUGGAGAGGAAGGUGGAAUGCUUGGUGUAGAGGUGAAAUUCGUAGAUAUCAAGCGGAACACCGGUGGCGAAGGCGGCCUUCUGGACAGUGACUGACGCUGAGACGCGAAAGCGUGGGGAGCAACAGG
RNAcentral lists this ribosomal RNA (252 nucleotides) under uncultured bacterium. Its description in RNAcentral is "partial 16S ribosomal RNA". It matches the Rfam family "Bacterial small subunit ribosomal RNA", at positions 524 to 775 of the family's 1533-position model. The record is from RNAcentral.